Molecule: long non-coding RNA, 299 nt
Organism: Hermetia illucens (black soldier fly)
Lineage: Eukaryota; Metazoa; Arthropoda; Insecta; Diptera; Stratiomyidae
Exons: 2
Source: RefSeq, a predicted model, not a curated record
AGUAAAUAUCCUUCCCCCAACAGAUUGGACAUUCAUAAAUACUUGAAGGAAAUAUACAAUAGAAAUUUGGAAACAUCAUAACUGCUGCAGGUUUGAAAGUAAUUUCGAAAGAUAUCAUGAUGCCUACUUGGGGGCCAAACCCAGAGUUUAGUUAUGUCCAACCGACGAACACGCUCCGUACCUUCGGCCGAAAAUAUCCCAAAAACAAGCAACAAAUGCGAAUAAUUAUUUCAAUUAUUUCAUCUUUCCGACUACAAAUAGUAAAAUUUAUGGAGCAGCUUCUGCUACAUUGGCUUUCA